RNAcentral lists this ribosomal RNA (506 nucleotides) under uncultured bacterium. RNAcentral's name for it is "bacterial SSU rRNA". It matches the Rfam family "Bacterial small subunit ribosomal RNA", at positions 53 to 572 of the family's 1533-position model. The record is from RNAcentral.
ACAUGCAAGUCGAACGAGCGAGAGAGAGCUUGCUUUCUCGAGCGAGUGGCGAACGGGUGAGUAACGCGUGAGGAACCUGCCUCAAAGAGGGGGACAACAGUUGGAAACGACUGCUAAUACCGCAUAAGCCCACGGUGCCGCAUGGCACAGAGGGAAAAGGAGCAAUCCGCUUUGAGAUGGCCUCGCGUCCGAUUAGCUAGUUGGUGAGGUAACGGCCCACCAAGGCGACGAUCGGUAGCCGGACUGAGAGGUUGAACGGCCACAUUGGGACUGAGACACGGCCCAGACUCCUACGGGAGGCAGCAGUGGGGAAUAUUGCACAAUGGGGGAAACCCUGAUGCAGCGACGCCGCGUGGAGGAAGAAGGUCUUCGGAUUGUAAACUCCUGUUGUUGAGGAAGAUAAUGACGGUACUCAACAAGGAAGUGACGGCUAACUACGUGCCAGCAGCCGCGGUAAAACGUAGGUCACAAGCGUUGUCCGGAAUUACUGGGUGUAAAGGGAGCGC